RNAcentral lists this ribosomal RNA (254 nucleotides) under uncultured bacterium. RNAcentral's name for it is "partial 16S ribosomal RNA". It matches the Rfam family "Bacterial small subunit ribosomal RNA", at positions 524 to 776 of the family's 1533-position model. The record is from RNAcentral.
UACGGGGGGGGGCACGCGUUGUUCGGAAUUACUGGGCGUAAAGGGCUCGUAGGCGGCCAACUAAGUCAGACGUGAAAUCCCUCGGCUUAACCGGGGAACUGCAUCUGAUACUGGAUGGCUUGAGUUCGGGAGAGGGAUGCGGAAUUCCAGGUGUAGCGGUGAAAUGCGUAGAUAUCUGGAGGAACACCGGUGGCGAAGGCGGCAUCCUGGACCGGCACUGACGCUGAGGAGCGAAAGCCAGGGGAGCAAACGGG